Molecule: long non-coding RNA, 975 nt
Organism: Xenopus laevis (African clawed frog)
Lineage: Eukaryota; Metazoa; Chordata; Amphibia; Anura; Pipidae
Exons: 4
Source: RefSeq, a predicted model, not a curated record
AUGUAGUCAGCAACAGAAGGUGGCAGAUCACUCAGCAGCACUGCUGCACUGGGUGAUAAGAUUUUCAUUUUCCUUAGAGUCUUGCUUUCUUUCUCACUGGAAUUAUGCUGUGACUCCUUCCCCCCCCCCCCAGCAUUAAACUGUGCCAUGCUGGGGAUGCAAGUAACACAAUGUGUACCACGAUAAUGGUGAUCAGUACCCUUAUUGUACUGCUACGACGCCAUUUUUUCAAUAAGGUGCAACCACUACCUGAUGGGCUUGAAGAUAACCCAACCAAUGGUGGGCUGCAGACAGCAUCACCAUCGCCUGAAAGGUCCAAAAGAAAUUGAUCUGAUGUCGUUUGCAGCAGCACCCAUCCUAAGGACAUGGCAGGAGAAAGACAAGUCUGACUCUAUGGCCGGUCAUCUUAAUCAGUACUGGAAUUGGAAUUCUGUUUGCCCAAAAACCUGCUCAUUUUGAUGCAAUGGAAGAACAUCUCCUCCUGUCUGGGAUUCCAAUAUUCUACGAGAUUGUUCCCAGCCACACUAUAUGGGACAAGUGUGCGAGUUUCCCAUCCAGGUGAUAAGUAGCAGAUGGCUUUUUCUAGAGAUUAAAGGCUUUUGCAUUUAAAAAGAUGACUGACGUGGAUUUCUUAAUUGGGAGCAAAAAUACAAACAAGUACAUGUGCUUUGGAUUUUCCAUCAAAAGAAAACAAUGACACCCAUGUUACCCACAAAAAGAUCUGGGAUUUCACAAAUUCACUGUCUGUUUUUCUGAGGUCUUAUAUGCAGUGAUCAUUUUGGUUAAUAUGGCAAUAAAGUAGAUACACUAAAGAAUAGAAAGCAAAUUUAAAAGAUGAGUUAAAUACAAAUACAUUUCAAGAAGCACAAACGUGAUAAAAUACAGAGCACUGUUAAUGUCAGCAGGAGGAGGAAUUCGUUUUAACAUCAAUGUUUAUAUAUAAUUUUAUGUAUUUAUUAAAAAGUACUCAAUUUA